AGUGUCGCGCUUGAUUGCUGAACAAAUCUCGCUGAACUACGUGUAUUCUCAAGCAAUAACAUUGGAUAUCAGGCUAUAGCUACGAGCAUACACGUGGCCAUUGGAGAUAGCUUCUGCCACUGUAAUCCUCGCUGCGAAUAGCCGGGAUAACCGAGAUCCUGGCACUCUCACUGGCGGUUUUGUGUUACGCACCCGAUGCGCCUAAUAAUGCCAAGCCGCAGAAUUAAUUGCACUAUAAUUUGUAAUUAAGUUACCGGGCAAACACGAAACUAUGCGUGGUGGAAUGUUUUCAACGGGGGACGCAACAAAUGGAGAGAGGAGGUGAAAGGGUUCUCCCCUCCGCAGGCUAAUAAAACCGAAGGAAUAUCGCUGUCCUGUGGCGGCAAGGAUGUUGCCGAUGUCCCACCACUUUCCAUCCUGCCAUCCUUCCAUAACUGUACAUGUAACUACGUUGUUUCACCGUAAUUAAUUAAUUACAUUACACAAACUUGCCGUCA
Molecule: long non-coding RNA, 497 nt
Organism: Drosophila ficusphila
Lineage: Eukaryota; Metazoa; Arthropoda; Insecta; Diptera; Drosophilidae
Exons: 2
Source: RefSeq, a predicted model, not a curated record